UACCUGCAGCUCAAGUGGUGGCCGCUAUUAUUGGGCCUAAAACGUCCGUAGCCGGUUUCAUAAAUGCCUGGGUAAAUCGUACGGCUUAACCGUAUGAAUUCCGGGUAGACUGUUUAACUUGAGACCGGGAGAGGCUAGAGGUACUCCUGGGGUAGAGGUGAAAUUCUGUAAUCCUAGGGGGACCACCAGUGGCGAAGGCGUCUAGCUAGAACGGGUCUGACGGUGAGGGACGAAGCCCUGGGGAGCAAACGGGAUUAGAUACCCGCGUA
RNAcentral lists this ribosomal RNA (269 nucleotides) under uncultured prokaryote. Its description in RNAcentral is "partial 16S ribosomal RNA". It matches the Rfam family "Archaeal small subunit ribosomal RNA", at positions 474 to 743 of the family's 1478-position model. The record is from RNAcentral.